GUGCCAGCCGCCGCGGUAACACGUAGGGACCAAGCGUUGUCCGGAUUCAUUGGGCGUAAAGAGCUCGUAGGCGGCUCAGUAAGUCGGGUGUGAAACCUCCAGGCUCAACCUGGAGACGCCACCCGAUACUGCUGUGGCUAGAGUCCAGUAGGAGAGCGUGGAAUUCCUGGUGUAGCGGUGAAAUGCGCAGAUAUCUAUCGGAACGCCGAAGGUGAAGACAGGCCGCUGGGCCGACUCUGACGCUGAGGUACGAAAGCGUGGGUAGCGAACGGGAUUAGAUACCCCGGUAGUCCACGCCGUAAACGAUGUGCACUAGAUCGAGGAGAUUCUGACAUCAUUCUCGGUCGAAGCAAAAGUGUUUAGUGCACCGCCUGGGGAGUACGGUCGCAAGGCUAAA
This 397-nucleotide ribosomal RNA is filed under the name uncultured bacterium. RNAcentral's name for it is "bacterial SSU rRNA". It matches the Rfam family "Bacterial small subunit ribosomal RNA", at positions 505 to 898 of the family's 1533-position model. The record is from RNAcentral.